This 332-nucleotide unclassified non-coding RNA is filed under the name soil metagenome. Its description in RNAcentral is "partial contains 5.8S ribosomal RNA, internal transcribed spacer 2, and large subunit ribosomal RNA". The stretch from base 1 to 120 matches the Rfam family "5.8S ribosomal RNA", at positions 35 to 154 of the family's 154-position model. The record is from RNAcentral.
GAUGAAGAACGCAGCGAAAUGCGAUAAGUAGUGUGAAUUGCAGAAUUCAGUGAAUCAUCGAAUCUUUGAACGCACAUUGCGCCCUUUGGUAUUCCUUAGGGCAUGCCUGUUCGAGCGUCAUUUAAACCUUCAAGCUAAGCUUGGUGUUGGGUGACUGUCCGCUUCACGGCGGACUCGCCUCAAAAUUAUUGGCGGCCGGUACAUUGGCUUCGAGCGCAGCAGAAACGCGAACUCGGGCCCGUCGUAUUGGCUCCCAGAAGCUAUCUUCACAAUUUUGACCUCGGAUCAGGUAGGGAUACCCGCUGAACUUAAGCAUAUAAAUAAGCGGAGGA